Molecule: long non-coding RNA, 812 nt
Organism: Zonotrichia leucophrys gambelii
Lineage: Eukaryota; Metazoa; Chordata; Aves; Passeriformes; Passerellidae
Exons: 6
Source: RefSeq, a predicted model, not a curated record
GUGAGUUGGGGCUUCCCUCCUUUCCUUGCUGUGUUUGCUGGGCUUGCACCUCUGAGAGCUGUUCUGGAGUUUUUCCUUAGUUGCUGACAAGAUCUCACCCAAGGCCAUACAGGCUUCAUCAGGAGUGACGGGAAAGGAAGUGCUGAGCCAGGGCUUGUUCCUCUGCCUUUCCACAAGUGGGAUGUAUUCAAGCUUCCACAAUGCGUGAAGCAGUGGAUCUGGCGAGGAUCUCAGGAGCACCCACAGCGAUCCACAACCAUGGCUGGAGCGAUAAUCCAAUCCCAGCCGAAAGCCUCGAAAUCCACCGUCAGCGGGUAGCGGCAACACCGGGAUUCUGUCGAGUGCUCAUCGCAGUCGAGACCGAAAUCUCUGCGGGACCGUUUUGGUGUGUCUGUAACUCUGACCUCUAAAAAUGGGUUCUGUGAGAAGAGGAGAAGCAAUUGGAAUCGUUUCUGAGGUUUCCCUCUCAAGCUGUUUCCCUGCAAGCUGUGGAGCUGCUGGAAGGGCCCUUUCCAAAGAUAAGGAAACGGAGGCAGAGGAAAGCUAUUGAUUUUUUUGCAUAAUCAGAGAGCAAAGAAUGAAAGAAUUGGAUACACAGAACUUUUAUCUUCCAUUCCCUAAACAAUGCAUCCAUUUUAUCUUUAAAACAGAGCUUAAAUGCUUUUCAAUUAAAUGGGAUUUUUCUAAAUAGACUUACCAAUCCAUCUUCCCCCGGUCCUGGGAAAGUUACAGCAAGAUUCCGUCCGUUCUCAUCAAAAGCUUUUAUUUCGAUGCCUAAAUUGGAUUCAGGCUGUUUGAGCCAAUUUUGCAAC